CCCCUGGUGUCUCAAAUGGUAAAGAAUCUGCCUGCAAUGCAGGAGACCCUAGUUCUAUUCUUGGGUAGGGAA
Molecule: transfer RNA, 72 nt
Filed under: Bos taurus (domestic cattle)
Lineage: Eukaryota; Metazoa; Chordata; Mammalia; Artiodactyla; Bovidae
Also listed under: 1 other name
Rfam family: tRNA
About the family: Transfer RNA (tRNA) molecules are approximately 80 nucleotides in length. Their secondary structure includes four short double-helical elements and three loops (D, anti-codon, and T loops).
Source: Rfam by way of RNAcentral